UGAAGCAUUCAGUGAUCAAUCGCCCUGUUC
RNAcentral lists this non-coding RNA (30 nucleotides) under Rattus norvegicus (Norway rat). Lineage: Eukaryota; Metazoa; Chordata; Mammalia; Rodentia; Muridae. The record is from RNAcentral.